This 395-nucleotide ribosomal RNA is filed under the name uncultured bacterium. RNAcentral's name for it is "partial 16S ribosomal RNA". It matches the Rfam family "Bacterial small subunit ribosomal RNA", at positions 523 to 918 of the family's 1533-position model. The record is from RNAcentral.
AUACGUAGGGUGCAAGCGUUAAUCGGAAUUACUGGGCGUAAAGCGUGCGCAGGCGGUUUUGUAAGAGAGAGGUGAAAUCCCCGGGCUCAACCUGGGAACUGCCUUUGUGACUGCAAGGCUAGAGUACGGGAGAGGGGGAUGGAAUUCCGCGUGUAGCAGUGAAAUGCGUGGAUAUGAGGAGGAACACCGAUGGCGAAGGCAAGCCCCUGGGCCUGUACUGACGCUCAUGCACGAAAGCGUGGGGAGCAAACAGGAGUAGAUACCCUGGUAGUCCACGCCCUAAACGAUUUCAACUGGUUGUUGGGUCUUCAUUGACUCAGUAACGAAGCUAACGCGUGAAGUGGACCGCCUGGGGAGUACGGCGGCAAGGUGGAAACUCAAAGGAAUUGACGGGU